UUGUAUUUCAUGCAAAUCAAUAAUUCUCCACCUCUGCUUGAUCAUUUAUCGUUUGUUUCCCUUGUACAAAACAACAGUGAAGAAGAGGUUAACAUUUUGCAGCUACCAGUGGACAUACUGUAUGAAAUCCUUCUUCUUGUUGUGCUGGAGGAAGGAGACGCAGCAAUGGGAAAAUUAUCACUGACAUGCAAGCAGUUUCUGGACAUCAUUCUGCAACAAGGCACAUUUCCUGUUGUUGGACAGUGUCGUUGACUGGAAGAAAUUCUCUAAAGACUUUCAGGAAGCCGUACCUCAUAUCAAACUGCUGUGGAAGUUGUGGAAGCACAUUUAAAGAUUGUGGUGCAGGUUACUGGGGCAAUGGGAAAAGAGGACAGCUGAAAGGCUUUUAUUCUGAACCCAGUACUCCAGGGAACUGCAGCCACUUAUGCGCCAUGGAUGCAGGGUUAGUUUCCCAGAUUCCUCCUGUAAUUUCCUCCAUCACAUGAAGUAACACCCUAAUGAUACUAUGUUGUUGUGUGUUUUUAUUAAUUAAUAGAUGCUAUGUAGAGUUUUAAGAUGUCUUCAAAAGUUAAAU
Molecule: long non-coding RNA, 574 nt
Organism: Girardinichthys multiradiatus
Lineage: Eukaryota; Metazoa; Chordata; Actinopteri; Cyprinodontiformes; Goodeidae
Exons: 3
Source: RefSeq, a predicted model, not a curated record